Nicotiana tabacum (common tobacco) is the source of this 457-nucleotide long non-coding RNA. RefSeq lists it as uncharacterized. NCBI's taxonomy places the organism in Eukaryota, Viridiplantae, Streptophyta, Magnoliopsida, Solanales, Solanaceae. The record is from RefSeq and is a predicted model, not a curated record.
CUAAAUUCUCUCCCGCAAAAAUGUUAUACCCUCUCGUACUCUCUCAUACCUAGAAAUUAGAUUAAAGAAAACAAUUCAUACGGCCACCAUCACUUUGCUCUCUAAAUUAAAUUUCCGGCCAGCAUCACUUUGCUCUCUAAAUCACCAUCGGCAACCAAAUUUCUGGCCACCAUCAAAAUUCUUGGUUUCGAGAUUGUUGCAGAAAUUGUUCUUAUCGUUCACUUUUUUAUCUUCAUCAUCAAAGUAUUCUGCCUACCAGGUCAUACUGUCUGAUGUUGGAUAAUUUAGCGAGUGAAAGAUUUCAAAAUCAUAAAAACUAUCAUUCGUCUGGAUUAGUUAUAUAAUGACAUUGGCUAUUUGGUCUAAACAAUAUAUUUUUAUGUUUUAAAUUACUGUGAUACUAAUGUUUUUGAUUAGUACUUUCUUUUGUUUGUUAAGAUUAAUGAGAUACAUUAUG